This 5591-nucleotide long non-coding RNA is filed under the name Lynx canadensis (Canada lynx). Its description in RNAcentral is "lncRNA (ENSLCNG00005021437.1)". Lineage: Eukaryota; Metazoa; Chordata; Mammalia; Carnivora; Felidae. The record is from RNAcentral.
UCUUUCUUUCUCUCUCUCUUUCUUUCUCUUUCUUUUUGUAAGUCAUCCUUUUGUUUAGUUUUAGAACAAGUCCUCCUUUUUUCCCCCAACAGACUUGCCUUGGAAAAGAUUGAGAAGAGCCAGUAGACUUGGCUUCCUUACUUCUGCUCAUGUCCUGCAUGAGAUAUGCUCAUACGAGAUGUGCUGUGUGGCGGCGGGAAGCGAUGAAGAAGGAGAGCCUGGGGUCAUCUGAAGAAGUCCAAGAAGAUGUUAGAUCUGGUGAUAAUUGCCUUUACUCUCUCCUCUCCUUCUUUAUCAGAGCCAAGAAGUUAAUUUUAGACAAUAGUGUUUUCCAGAGCCAUCUCUGCCUUGUGUUCAGCAAAAGAGAAGUAGCAUGUAGGAUUUUUCUUUUACUUCCUGGCUUAGAUAUUCUCACCUUCCUCCAUAAAUUCUCUGAACAAAGCAGGUUUCCUGAUACUUCAGUCAAUUCCUCCUGUGCUACAGAAAGCAAGUCCUCUGGGCCCAGGGAUGCACACAUAUGUAGAUUCGUUGGGGGAAGAAGAUGUUAUUCACCAAUCAUUUCCUCUCCAACUUUAAUUUUUAAAUCAGUUUUCUUUAUUUACUUUGUAUUUAAAAAGACCUUGACAGGUUGACACCUAGGUGCUUACUAGAAACACCCAACAGCUCUGUUAACGUUUUAUAACAGAGCCCUAGCCAGAUUUUGUUUGUUUUAUUUUCAAAGUGCGUCUCCUCCUUCCUUACCUUAGAGCUGGUCUCAUUUUCCCGUCAAUUUGAAGACAUGGAUUUGGAGUAAUUGAGCACAUGGCAGGAGAGGAAAAUCAUCAAUUGAAGAUUGCUUGCCUAUGCGUAAUCCGUUGAUUGGUCUGUGUUCAUAACACCGUGACCCUAGAUUAUAUUAAAUUCCCAGCACAGGACAGACAGAACAAUAAUUUGUAAAGCACCUAUCAUGCGGCAGGCACAACGCUAACCAUAGUAAAAUCAUAAUCAGCACACUUCACGCAGGAGGUAUUAAGUAUCACGCAGAGCUAAGAGACCCACGGGCCCAUAAACCGAACAAUUUUCCAGACUUGCGGUAGGUCGUCAUAAUAUCACGGUGAAUCUUGGAAGACUUAAGAAUGCCAGAAAGUUCACUUAACCUCCCUUCAUUUGGGGGUGCAGGUUGGUUGCAAACUCCAGUUGAUUUACCCUGCCUGGAUUGGAGAGUGUGCAGUCCAACAUUCCUGAAGGGCAAAGCAUCGGACCCCGGAAGGCUAGCGUGGCUCCCUGUGACAGAGUUCCCUGUGGUCUUCCUGUCAUUGCUGUUUGCAGCAUGGAGAGACUCUUCGACGAGGGUUGAGUGCGCCACAUUUAAAAUCUCUGAGUUAGCAGUUUCCACCUUGAGAAUAUUCCUGGCUUUCUCCCCCAGAGUGCUCCCCAUGCAUCUAUCUCCGUUUGAAUCUUAGCAGGAAGUCCGGGGCUGCCACGGCACCUCAGUCCCCAAAAUGUGUCUCAAACAGUGUUUCUGUGUUCUUUUAAGUUUAUUAAUUCUGCACACUCAGUGCUUUUGAAACUCCUCUAUUUCACAAACACUCAAGUAAAUGUAAUCGUAUCUUUUUGAAGCUCUUCCUUACUGUGCUGUCAUUAGUAAAUAAUGGGGGAAACCAGGCGGCAUAGGGUAUGAUUAUUAGUAACAAUACUUUGGAUUUGCACAAACUCACUCUCAAUGAACCCUAGGCAGUUCCUACACAUUAGCUCAUUUUUCCUCACCACAGCUGGGCCGGGAGACCUAGAUUCUAUUCUUGGUGCUUCAACAACCUUCUUGGGAAAAGUAUUUAGCCACUAAUUGCCUCAGUUCCCAACUAUGAAAAGGGAAUAAUGAUAUUAGGAUAUUUGCCUCUCCCUGUCUUUAUCCUAGACCUUUAGAACCUAACUAGUAAAAAAAAAAAUGUUUUUAAUCUGAAGAGCCUAAAAAGUCUAAAAGAGAAGGAGUGUGGCUUGACUUUAUUUCCAUUAAUGAAAAGGUGAGAUACAGUCUUAGGAGUUUGACUGGAAACCUUGAAAUCUGAAUUGUAAUCCAGUAUCUGCUUCAUGAUAGACCAUUGCCUUGGAUACCUCUCUCCUUUAUAUUGGAAAGCACUUAGUGAUCCAGCAAUGGUGAAUACUAUAAAAGGGGACUGAUCUUCUAAGGAGCAUUAAUUUGGUCAGCAAAGAUGUCUCUAUGAGCCAUGGCAUCAAUAAGACUGAAUUUAAGAUGAGAACACUCUUGGCUUCCAAAGCCUUCCCCUCCCCCCACCUCUCUCCUUUUCCUCACAACCUCCUGGCUGUGUAGCUGUUUCAAAUAUAUAGACAAAUAACUCCAGCCCAAGUCCCUGGCCUAUAUCUUUGGUCUCCUAUCAUCUCUAGACUCUUGGCCUGGCAAUCUCCAUCUUCAAAAGUUCCAGGGGCAGAAAUAAGCCUUUUUGCUUGCCAGCCUAAACCUAAUGACUGAGUGGCAGGGAACCUAGACCAAAAUAGAACUUGGCUCUUAGAUGAUAUGCGUCAGCCAAGAAUAAUGCUUCUUUUUUAACGUCAGGCUCCAUUCUAUUAGUGCACAGGUAAUAGGGAUCUCAUCCUUUAGAAGGGCCUUGAUUUUCUCUAUUUUUCACUCUCAGUUUACCCACUUAUUGUAUAGGAGUGAAAGCUUCUCUCUUUUACCUGCCUACAUCCAAAAGCCUAUUGAAAUGUACUACUUACAAAUUGGUCAAGUCAGACCCCAAGGCAGUGGGCCAUAGAGUACCUUCCAGAGGGCUUCAUAGACAACAUGGGCUCGUCAGAUAAGUGACAGUCCUUGUAUGGAGUUAAUCCAGAAGCCAAGAAAAGUCCUCUGAAGCUCACCCAAUGAAGCAUAAGGAGGCAACAGAAUUAGUAUACAUAUUCAUAUCAAAAAAUAUUAUUAAAUAAUAUGCUGAAGACUUCUCUCACCGUUGAUUUCCCCUAAUAUCCUAAAAGGCUAAGGAAAGCGAAAUAAUAUUUUUUUUUCUUUUUUACUAGGCAAAAAUUCAAGUCUUUAGCCUGACAUUACUUAACCUGACACUUGGAACUCUUACAGAUUUGGGGUAUAAAAUCCGCCAGAUGACUCCUUUGGAGACCACUGGAGCUUCAGACUGUUUGCACCAAACGCUGCUCCCUACUGGCUCAAAGUCUCAUUGCUUCAGGAAAAUGGUUUUGCUGAUCAAGGCAGAAGGAAGCUUCGUCUUCCUCCCCUUCCUGGGAAUAUCUUUUUGUCAGUUAAUGAGGGACUCUUGCUGAGGGAAUUUAGAUCGUUCCCAUCUAAAGUAUGUUUAGAGUUUGGGGGCUGGAGUCGGGGGGACUGUGGUUAUGCAUCCAGCUGUCCCUUGAGAGUCACGGUCAGCCACCAAGGAUGCAUCUUUAGAAACUUGAGUGGUGUCAAAACUCUGAAUGUGCAUCAAUGCCUGUCAAAGGACGGAUUGAGCGCCAUCAUAUUCUCCCUGCCCGCCCCUAUCGCCCGGAUGAGGUCUCGGAUGGAAGCUAGCCUGCCAAGGAUACCACUUGUACACGCUUCAGUACUCUUUCCUUAGGCAAAUAAGGACUUGUGUAACCUUUUUUCAGAAUACAUAUUAUGAAACUCUGGAGCCUUUCGGUCAUAUGGUCACGAACGAUUUCUAGCUUCUCAACCUCUUUUUUUCUGAAAUGAGGGCAUCUGAGCUCGGUUGCUUAUCUCAGAUCUGGACUUACCCACACACUUUAAAGUGCAAGAGAUCUCCCUCCCUCCCUGCGUGUAGCCCAGAAUAGGCCUUCACAGCCACGUCAUCCUGGACACUUUAUCACUUGAUAUUACCUCCUAAUCCACAGAUCAGUGAGAUUUCAGACAGAAUCUGUCUGGCUCUCAAACAGAAACAGCAUGACUUCAGAACAUUUAGAAUGAAUUAAGCAGACCAAUUUGUUAUUUUUCAGAAACACAAAGGUGGCUAUAAGUGGGACCUCAGCCAGAGUAUGGUCUUAGAAAAUAAGGUUGCAGUUCACCCUUUAUAAAAUGUUAUUUUACGUGGCAUCGUACUAAGCGUUCUUCCAAGGGUUAUUUAGACAUGAGCUCUGAUCACUCAAAAAGUUACAGUCAAAGCCACAUCAGCAUAAACGUUUAUUAAAAAACUUUUGCUAUGGGGGUACCUGGGUGGCUCAGUCCGUUCGUUGGGCAUCCAACUUCGGCUCGGGUCAUGAUCUCAUGGUUCGGUUUGUGGGGUCAUGCCCCACGUAGGGCUCUGUGCUGAUGGCUCAGAGCCUGGAACCUGCUUCGGAUUCUGUGUCUUCUUCUCUCUCUGCCCCUCUCCCGCUCACACUCUGUCUCUCUCUGCCUCUCAAAAAUAAAUAAAUGUUAGAAAAAAAAAAAACUUUUGCUAUAUACCAGGUGCUGAGCUGUAUACCAGAAACACAAUAGCAAUCAUGUGACAACCACCCUCCGCGUUCAUCUUGGAAUUUGGAGCUAGAGACAACAUAGUCUAUGGAUAGUGCCAACACCAGAACAUCGAGUUCUUUCCUCUAGCUAACGGACUUAUACUGCCGAGCACAGUGCCUGACAUACAGUCAAGUACUCAAUAAAUAUUCCUUGGCUAAAAUGAGCUCAUGAAAAGAAUGAAUACAUGUUAAAGUGGAGUAAGUAUAGACUGCUAUGGAAAACACAUCGGAGGAGAAACCAGGCUGGUGGGAGGGGAUGAACUGUGUGGAAAGUGUCAUUUACACGGAGACAAGAGUCAACACAAUGAUCUAAAGGAAAGACCGGGCUCAUGGAGUUCGACCUGGUUCGGAUCCUAGCGCUGCGCUCAGAGCUGGGCAGUUCCAACUAUCCCAAACCUUUGAAAACACUGAUGAUGGCUUUGGAAGACAAAAUGAGAUAUUAUUUGCCUGUAAGUGUCUGUCACAUCGAAGAACUCAAGAGCAGCUAGUAAAGGAGGAACAGAGAACAGAACUGCAACGUUAAAGCAAUAAAGACCUGAGGAGUAAGGUUAAGAGCACAAACACUUUGAGGGAUGGAUGGCAACGACGAGCUUAAUUUAAAGUCACGGUGGCAGCAGGGAGAGGUGCUCCUGAAGUUCUUAGCUUCUAAGCCCAGACGAGGCUGGGGGGAGGGUAGGUGUCUUACGGGAUUUAUCUUCCUCUUCCAAUCCGUCUGAAGGCUUUCAAAUUCAGCUUUUAGCUGCAAAACCACGUGGGCCCUGCCUGUCACUGUUUACGGUAUGGUAAAUGCCCUUUUCAGAUCAUCAGAUCCUCUUAAAAUAUUGUGACGUGUCGAAGCUCGAGACAGACCAUAUAUGUGUGUGUGUUUAUAUACAGAGACAUAGAAAUACACACAUAAAAAUAUAACCCUUUUCUCUAGAAGGCCUUGCAAUAAUUAGCUUCUGUUGCUUUUAUCUUAAAUACCCACAAAUAUACCAGACCCCUUUCUUCUGUGCUUCCUUCCCUCCAUGUCCAUCAGGCCCUUUCCCACUGCAUUCAUAUAGUUAGAUCAGCGCGCGCGCGCGCGCACACACACACACACACACACACACACACACACACACCUGUUAUCUACCAGCUUCGGCUUUUUUUAGGUGAGCCUUUGGGAAGUGCCCUGAUCU